UAUCCAGACUCCUACGGGAGGCAGCAGUGGGGAAUAUUGCACAAUGGGGGAAACCCUGAUGCAGCGACGCCGCGUGAGCGAAGAAGUAUUUCGGUAUGUAAAGCUCUAUCAGCAGGGAAGAAAUUGACGGUACCUGAGUAAGAAGCUCCGGCUAAAUACGUGCCAGCAGCCGCGGUAAUACGUAUGGAGCAAGCGUUAUCCGGAUUUACUGGGUGUAAAGGGAGCGUAGACGGCCAUGCAAGCCAGGGGUGAAAGCCCGGGGCCCAACCCCGGGACUGCCCUUGGAACUGUGCGGCUAGAGUGCGGGAGGGGCAGGCGGAAUUCCUGGUGUAGCGGUGAAAUGCGUAGAUAUCAGGAGGAACACCGGCGGCGAAGGCGGCCUGCUGGACCGCGACUGACGUUGAGGCUCGAAAGCGUGGGGAGCGAACAGGAUUAGAUACCCCCGUAUG
RNAcentral lists this ribosomal RNA (449 nucleotides) under uncultured bacterium. Its description in RNAcentral is "partial 16S ribosomal RNA". It matches the Rfam family "Bacterial small subunit ribosomal RNA", at positions 328 to 793 of the family's 1533-position model. The record is from RNAcentral.